UCUUCUGCUCAUCCUUCUGCUUCAUCUUUUCCCUUUGUUCCUUCUGGAGAACAUGAUGAUGAUUCUGAUUCUCCCAUACUUCUCUCCUCUCCCUCUUCUCCCACAUGUGUGCAAGUGCCUUAUACUGAUUCUGCAUUCCCUUCUUCUUUCAAUCCUAACAUCUCCCCUCCUGUUUUAGCUUCUUCUCCUUCUGUUCCUGCUCCCAGAAAGUCUCAAAGACAGCAUAAUCCUCCUUCCUAUCUUAAGGAUUAUGUCUGUCAACUACCUGCCUUCUCNNNNNNNNNNNNNNNNNNNNNNNNNNNNNNNNNNNNNNNNNNNNNNNNNNNNNNNNNNNNNNNNNNNNNNNNNNNNNNNNUGUCUGUCAACUACCUGCCUUCUCUGGUUCAUCUUCCUCCUCUUUGGAAUCUGAGCCUCUAUAUUACUCUCAAGCUGCAUCUGUUCUAGCAUGGCAAGCUGCCAUGAGACAGGAGUUUGAUGCUUUGGACACUAACCAUACUUGGGAUGUUGUUCCUCUUCCUCCUGGUAAGAAAUCUAUUGGUUGUAAAUGGGUUUAUAAGAUAAAUACAAGACUGAUGGUUGUGUUGAAAGGUAUAAAGCCAGACUUGAGAUUAGAGGUGAUACUCAGGUUGAAGGUAUUGACUUCACUGACACCUUUUCUCCUGUGGUUAAANNNNNNNNNNNNNNNNNNNNNNNNNCACCUUUUCUCCUGUGGUUAAAAUGUGCACAGUUAAGUGUCUUAUUGCUGUGGCUGUGAAAAAUCAUUGGACUUUAUUUCAACUAGAUGUUAAUAAUGCUUUCUUGUAUGGUGAUUUGCAUGAUGAGGUCUAUAUGAAGCUUCCUCCUGGUUUAGUUGUUUCUGCUCCUGCCUUUGUUUCUGCCCCUUCUGCCUCUACUGCUCCCCUUGUUUGCAAAUUAAACAAAUCCCUAUAUGGGCUCAGACAGGCUUCCAGACAAUGGUAUGCCAAGUUGUAUUCUGCUCUCUACUCCAGAGGCUAUAGGCAUUCCUUGAAUGAUUAUUCCCUAUUCAUCAAAGGUACACUAGGGUCCCUUGUGAUUGUGGUUGUUUAUGUGUAUGAUAUCAUCCUUACUGGGGAUAACUGUGAUGAAAUUGCUGCCCUGAAACUGUUUCUGGAUGAUCACUUUAAAAUUAAGGACCUAGGGUCCUUACAUUAUUUUUUAGGCAUUGAGAUGUCAGCUAUUCCUGGUGGGAUGAUCCUUAAUCAACACAAAUAUAUUUGUGAUUUGCUGCAACAGUUUGACUGUGUCAAUGUCUCUUCUGUUGUCUGUCCUUUGGACAUUACUGCAAAAUUACAUGCUGAUUUUGAUGACCUUUUACUUUCUCCUGAUCAGUAUAUGAGUCUUGUUGGUAAACUCUUAUUUCUGACCCAUACUAGGCCUGACAUCUGUUUUGCUGUGCAACAUCUGAGUCAAUUCCUCAAAUGCCCCAGACUCCCCCAUAUGACUGCUGCCCUUCAUGUGCUGAGAUAUCUCAAGGGCACUUCUUCUCUGGGUCUCUUUUAUUCUGAUUGCAAUGAUUUCAUUGUUAUUGGUUAUUCUGAUAGUGACUGGGCUGCAUGCCCUGAUACAAGGAGGUCUGUUACUGGGUUCUGUAUUACUCUGGGUGGUUGCCUGAUUAGUUGGAAAUCUAAGAAGCAACAUGUGGUUUCUUUAUCUUCUGCUGAGGUUGAAUACAGGGCCCUCAGUAAGGUUGUUGCAGAACUAUCUUGGUUGUCUCGUUUGUUUCAUGAUCUUGGUAUUUCUGUUUCUCUUUCAUUUUUUGUGUAUUGUGACAGUCAGGCUGCUAUUCACAUUGCUAAGAAUCCUGUUUUUCAUGAACGGACCAAACACAUUGAACUGGAUUGUCACUUUGUACGCGAUCAGCUCCAGAAUUGCCUCAUUCAGCUGUUUCAUGUUUCUACAACUCGUCAGCUAGCUGACAUUAUGACCAAGCCCUUGCCUGGCACAGUGCUUCAUCCCUUAUUGCUCAAGUUGCAGGUGGUCUCCCCCUACAACUUGCGGGGGGGUGUUGAGAUAAGAGAUCAUACCUGACAUACACUUGUAUAGACUUUGUAUAUUCAUUGUAUACUCAUUGUAUAUUUGCGGUAUACUCAUGAUAUACCUUGUAAUGGGCUAUGAUGAUUACUGUAUAUCUGAGCCCACAGGUUAUUUAAUUUUGGGCCGGAUCACCCGACCCGACCCGAUAGUG
RNAcentral lists this long non-coding RNA (2206 nucleotides) under Nicotiana benthamiana. RNAcentral's name for it is "long non-coding RNA (NBEN_LNC006341)". Lineage: Eukaryota; Viridiplantae; Streptophyta; Magnoliopsida; Solanales; Solanaceae. The record is from RNAcentral.